Molecule: ribosomal RNA, 460 nt
Filed under: uncultured bacterium
Lineage: Bacteria
Description: partial 16S ribosomal RNA
Rfam family: Bacterial small subunit ribosomal RNA
Source: RNAcentral
CCUACGGGUGGCAGCAGUGAGGAAUAUUGGUCAAUGGACGAGAGUCUGAACCAGCCAAGUAGCGUGAAGGAUGACUGCCCUAUGGGUUGUAAACUUCUUUUAUAAAGGAAUAAAACGAGGCACGUGUGCCUUUUUGCAUGUACUUUAUGAAUAAGGAUCGGCUAACUCCGUGCCAGCAGCCGCGGUAAUACGGAGGAUCCGAGCGUUAUCCGGUUUUAUUGGGUUUAAAGGGAGCGUAGAUGGGUUGUUAAGUCAGUUGUGAAAGUUUGCGGCUCAACCGUAAAAUUGCAAUUGAUACUGGCAGUCUUGAGUACAGUUGAGGUAGGCGGAAUGCGUGGUGUAGCGGUGAAAUGCUUAGAUAUCACGAAGAACCCCGAUUGCGAAGGCAGCUUACUAAACUGUGACUGACAUUGAUGCUCGAAAGUGUGGGGAUCAAACAGGAUUAGAUACCCGUGUAGUC